UACGGAGGAUCCAAGCGUUAUCCGGAAUCAUUGGGUUUAAAGGGUCCGUAGGCGGUUUGGUAAGUCAGUGGUGAAAGCCCAUCGCUCAACGGUGGAACGGCCAUUGAUACUGCCAGACUUGAAUUAUUAGGAAGUAACUAGAAUAUGUAGUGUAGCGGUGAAAUGCUUAGAGAUUACAUGGAAUACCAAUUGCGAAGGCAGGUUACUACU
Molecule: ribosomal RNA, 210 nt
Filed under: uncultured bacterium
Lineage: Bacteria
Description: partial 16S ribosomal RNA
Rfam family: Bacterial small subunit ribosomal RNA
Source: RNAcentral